Molecule: ribosomal RNA, 497 nt
Filed under: uncultured bacterium
Lineage: Bacteria
Description: partial 16S ribosomal RNA
Rfam family: Bacterial small subunit ribosomal RNA
Source: RNAcentral
GAUGAACGCUGGCGGCGUGCCUAAUACAUGCAAGUCGAGCGAACAGAUGAGGAGCUUGCUCCUCUGACGUUAGCGGCGGACGGGUGAGUAACACGUGGAUAACCUACCUAUAAGACUGGGAUAACUUCGGGAAACCGGAGCUAAUACCGGAUAAUAUAUUGAACCGCAUGGUUCAAUAGUGAAAGACGGUUUUGCUGUCACUUAUAGAUGGAUCCGCGCCGCAUUAGCUAGUUGGUAAGGUCACGGCUUACCAAGGCAACGAUGCGUAGCCGACGUGAGAGGGUGAUCGGCCACACUGGAACUGAGACGCGGACCAGACUCCUGCGGGAGGCAGCAGUAGGGAAUCUUCCGCAAUGGGCGAAAGCCUGACGGAGCAACGCCGCGUGAGUGAUGAAGGUCUUCGGAUCGUAAAACUCUGUUAUUAGGGAAGAACAAAUGUGUAAGUAACUAUGCACGUCUUGACGGUACCUGAUCAGAAAGCCACGGCUAACUACGUG